GGCAAUUUCGGAUUUAUAUAGUGACAUGAGAUAGAUAU
RNAcentral lists this non-coding RNA (38 nucleotides) under Trypanosoma brucei brucei. The record is from RNAcentral. Lineage: Eukaryota; Euglenozoa; Kinetoplastea; Trypanosomatida; Trypanosomatidae.